AACGCACAUUGCGCCCCUUGGUAUUCCAUGGGGCAUGCCUGUUCGAGCGUCAUUUGUACCCUCAAGCUUUGCUUGGUGUUGGGCGUUUUGUCUGUUUAUUCAGACUCGCCUUAAAGUAAUUGGCAGCCAGUGUUUUUGGUAGUAAGCGCAGCACAUUUUGCGUCUUAGUCUCUAAACAGUGGCAUCCAUGAAGCCUCUUUCUCACUUUUGACCUCGGAUCAGGUAGGGAUACCCGCUGAACUUAA
Molecule: unclassified non-coding RNA, 245 nt
Filed under: uncultured Ascochyta
Lineage: Eukaryota; Fungi; Ascomycota; Dothideomycetes; Pleosporales; Didymellaceae
Description: sequence contains ITS2
Source: RNAcentral